RNAcentral lists this non-coding RNA (775 nucleotides) under Anisandrus dispar. Its description in RNAcentral is "12S ribosomal RNA". The stretch from base 370 to 768 matches the Rfam family "Microsporidia small subunit ribosomal RNA", at positions 752 to 1303 of the family's 1311-position model. The record is from RNAcentral. Lineage: Eukaryota; Metazoa; Arthropoda; Insecta; Coleoptera; Curculionidae.
UUAAAGUUUUUUUGCUUUGGGGUUUCAAAAAAAUUUGGGCUAUAUGCAAGCGUUGGCAUAAUAAAAAAUGGGUUUAAAUAAUAAAAUGGGGGUACGAUAGGGCAGUUGCUAAAAUUAAAUAUUCGGGGGGCCGAGAUAUAGCAGGGGGUUAUAGUACAAACAAAAUUUGUGCCAGCAGUUGCGGUUACACAAAUUGUGCGAUGAAAUUUUAUUGGGAGUAGUAAAUUAGUAUAAUAAAUGGAUUUGAUGGGGUUUUAGUGGGUGAAAUUUUAAAAUUUGUAAAAUUUAUUUAAAUUGGGGGUGAGGCUAAUAAAUUUUACAAAAAACUAGGAUUAGAUACCCUACUAUAAAAAUUAUAUUUAAAACCUAAAUUAUUACUAGAUAGGUUCUUUAAAGUUAAGAAAGAUGGCGGUAUUUUAGUCUAUUCAGAGGAAUCUGCCCUGUAAUUGAUAUUCCACGAUUUAGGUUACUUGGGGUUUUAGCUUACAUAUCGCUGUGGUUUGAAUAUUUUUAUUGAAUUUUAAUAUUCGAGAUUCUGGGGGGAGGGAUAUCAAGUCAAGAUGUAGCUUAUGCCUAAGGAGAGGUGGAUUACAAUGGUUUAUUUGUGGUUGGGGGCCUGUAAUGGCUUCUAUAAAGAGGAUUUGAUAGUAAUUUUUUAUUAAAAUUUAAAAAGUGAUUUUAGCUCUAAAAUAUGUACAUAUCGCCCGUCGCUUUCACUAUAAAGUGAAAUAAGUCGUAACAUAGUAGGUGUACUGGAAAGUGUUUCUAGAAUGCA